UGAGUACGAGACACUACGGUGUCGAAGCAGUCUAUGUCAUACUUCCAAGAAAAGCUUGCACUGUCAUAAACAAAUAAUGCCUGUACCAUAACCGACACGGGUGGGUAGGUAGAGUAUACUAAGGGGCGCGAGAUAACUCUCUCUAAGGAACUCGGCAAAAUGACUCCGUAACUUCGGGAGAAGGAGUGCCUUAUAUUUUAUAAGGUUGCAAUAACAAGAUCCAAGCAACUGCUUACCAAAAACACAGGUCUCCGCUAAGUCGUAAGACGAUGUAUGGGGGCUGACGCCUGCCCAGUGCCAGAAGGUUAAAGAAGUUGGUUAGUAUUUGCGAAGCUGAUAACUGAAGCCCUGGUGAACGGCGGCCGUAACUAUAACGGUCCUAAGGUAGCGAAAUUCCUUGUCGGGUAAGUUCCGACCCGCACGAAAGGCGUAAUGAUUUGGAUACUGUCUCGGAGAGGGACUCGGUGAAAUAGACUUGUCUGUGAAGAUGCGGACUACUUGCACCAGGACAGAAAGACCCUAUGAAGCUUUACUGUAACUUGAAAUUGAAAUUGGACUUUACUUGCGCAGUAUAGGUGGGAGGCUUUGAGAAUAUUCUUGCGGGAAUAUUGGAGCCAUUAGUGAGAUACCACUCUGGUAAUGUUAGAUUUCUAACUUUGUAUCAUUAUCUGGUCAAAGAACAGUUUCAGGCGGGCAGUUUGACUGGGGCGGUCGCCUCCUAAACGGUAACGGAGGCGCACAAAGGUUUCCUCCGAACGGGUAGAAACCGUAUCUAGAGUGUAAAGGCAUAAGGAAGCUUGACUGUGAGACCUACAAGUCGAGCAGGGACGAAAGUCGGUCUUAGUGAUCUGACGGUGCUGAGUGGAAAGGCCGUCACUCAACGGAUAAAAGUUACUCUAGGAUAACAGGCUGAUCUCCCCCAAGAGUUCACAUCGACGGGGAGGUUUGGCACCUCGAUGUCGGCUCAUCGCAUCCUGGGGCGGUAGUACGUCCCAAGGGUUGGGCUGUUCGCCCAUGAAAGCGGUACGCGAGCUGGGUUCAGAACGUCGUGAGACAGUUCGGUCCAUAUCCGGUGUAAGCGUUAGAAUAUUGAGAGGAGCCUUCUUUAGUACGAGAGGACCGAGAAGGAUGCACCGCUGGUGUACCAGUUAUUGUGCCAACAGUAAACGCUGGGUAGCUAUGUGUGGAGUGGAUAACCGCUGAAAGCAUCUAAGUGGGAAGCCCACCUCAAGAUAAGUAUUCUUAUCACGUAAGUGAAUAAGGUCACGGUAAGACUAACCGUUUGAUAGGCAUUAAGUGUAAAUCUAGUAAUAGACGAGCUGAGAUGUACUAACAGACCGAAGAC
Molecule: ribosomal RNA, 1345 nt
Filed under: metagenome
Description: bacterial LSU rRNA
Rfam family: Bacterial large subunit ribosomal RNA
Source: RNAcentral